UACGAGGGGGCAAGCGUUGUUCGGAAUUAUUGGGCGUAAAGCGUGCGCAGGCGGUUAUGUAAGACAGAUGUGAAAUGCCCGGGCUUAACCUGGGAACUGCAUUUGUGACUGCAUGGCUAGAGUGUGUCAGAGGGGGGUAGAAUUCCACGUGUAGCAGUGAAAUGCGUAGAUAUGUGGAGGAAUACCGAUGGCGAAGGCAGCCCCCUGGGAUAACACUGACGCUCAUGCACGAAAGCGUGGGGAGCAAACAGG
This 252-nucleotide ribosomal RNA is filed under the name uncultured bacterium. Its description in RNAcentral is "partial 16S ribosomal RNA". It matches the Rfam family "Bacterial small subunit ribosomal RNA", at positions 524 to 776 of the family's 1533-position model. The record is from RNAcentral.